This 253-nucleotide ribosomal RNA is filed under the name uncultured bacterium. Its description in RNAcentral is "partial 16S ribosomal RNA". It matches the Rfam family "Bacterial small subunit ribosomal RNA", at positions 524 to 776 of the family's 1533-position model. The record is from RNAcentral.
UACGUAGGGUGCGAGCGUUAAUCGGAAUUACUGGGCGUAAAGCGUGCGCAGGCGGUUUUGUAAGACAGGCGUGAAAUCCCCGGGCUUAACCUGGGAACUGCGUUUGUGACUGCAAGGCUAGAGUGCGGCAGAGGGGGGUAGAAUUCCACGUGUAGCAGUGAAAUGCGUAGAGAUGUGGAGGAAUACCGAUGGCGAAGGCAGCCCCCUGGGUCGACACUGACGCUCAUGCACGAAAGCGUGGGGAGCAAACAGG